Molecule: long non-coding RNA, 229 nt
Filed under: Populus trichocarpa (black cottonwood)
Lineage: Eukaryota; Viridiplantae; Streptophyta; Magnoliopsida; Malpighiales; Salicaceae
Description: long non-coding RNA (PTRI_LNC004346)
Source: RNAcentral
GUGGGUUUAUAGUUCCUAGAUAUUACAUCUUUCUAACCUCUUAAGCUUUGAUCACCAAAGCCUCCGAAGACAUUUGAAUAACAAAGCUUUGUUUUUUUCCCUAUCAAUGAUCCCACUCUUGACCCUUCUUUGUCCUUUUCUCGCACCAUUAAAUUCCAAGAUACUUUCCAUUUCUUUCUAGUAUCAUAAGUUUCAACCUUGAUGCAACUAUAUUAUUUGAUAUUUUCAC